RNAcentral lists this ribosomal RNA (503 nucleotides) under uncultured bacterium. RNAcentral describes it as "bacterial SSU rRNA". It matches the Rfam family "Bacterial small subunit ribosomal RNA", at positions 24 to 518 of the family's 1533-position model. The record is from RNAcentral.
UCAGGAUGAACGCUGGCGGCAUGCCUAAUACAUGCAAGUCAAACGAGAGUAAGCAAUUACUCUAGUGGCGAACGGGUGAGUAACACGUGGGUAACUUAUCUUAUAGACGAGGAUAACAGUUGGAAACGACUGCUAAUACUGGAUAUGUUGAUAUAACAAAGGUUUAAUCAAUUAAAGAUGCUCUUGGCAUCACUAUAAGAGAGGCCCGCGGUGCAUUAGCUAGUUGGUGAGGUAACGGCCCACCAAGGCAAUGAUGCAUAGCUGUGCUGAGAGGCAAAACAGCCACACUGGGACUGAGACACGGCCCAGACUCCUACGGGAGGCAGCAGUAGGGAAUUUUCGGCAAUGGAGGAAACUCUGACCGAGCAAUGCCGCGUGAAAACCGAUGAAGGUCUUCGGACUGUAAAGUUCUGUUGUUAGGGAAGAAUAAUACAUUUAGGAAAUGAAAUGUAGAUGACGGUACCUAACCAGAAAGCCACGGCUAACUAUGUGCCAGCCGCAGC